CCUACGGGGUGCACCAGUAGGGAAUCUUCGGCAAUGGACGAAAGUCUGACCGAGCAACGCCGCGUGAGUGAAGAAGGUUUUCGGAUCGUAAAACUCAGUUGUUAGAGAAGAACAAGUAGGAGAGUGACUGCUCUUACCUUGACGGUAUCUAACCAGAAAGCCACGGCUAACUACGUGCCAGCAACCGCGGUAAUACGUAGGUGGCAAGCAUUGUCCGGAUUUAUUGGGCGUAAAGCGAGCGCAGGCGGUCUUUUAAGUCUGAUGUGAAAGCCCUCGGCUCAACCGAGGAAGGUCAUUGGAAACUGGAGGACUUGAGUGCAGAAGAGGAGAGUGGAAUUCCAUGUGUAGCGGUGAAAUGCGUAGAUAUAUGGAGGAGCACCAGUGGCGAAGGCGACUCUCUGGUCUGUAACUGACGCUGAGGCUCGAAAGCGUGGGGAGCAAACAGGAUUAGAUACCCGGGUAGUC
This 465-nucleotide ribosomal RNA is filed under the name uncultured bacterium. RNAcentral describes it as "bacterial SSU rRNA". It matches the Rfam family "Bacterial small subunit ribosomal RNA", at positions 338 to 795 of the family's 1533-position model. The record is from RNAcentral.